RNAcentral lists this ribosomal RNA (460 nucleotides) under uncultured bacterium. Its description in RNAcentral is "partial 16S ribosomal RNA". It matches the Rfam family "Bacterial small subunit ribosomal RNA", at positions 338 to 795 of the family's 1533-position model. The record is from RNAcentral.
CCUACGGGGUGCAGCAGUGAGGAAUAUUGGUCAAUGGGCGCAAGCCUGAACCAGCCAAGUCGCGUGAGGGAAUAAGGCCCUACGGGUCGUAAACCUCUUUUGCCGGGGAGCAAGAGCGGGGACGUUUCCCGGCCCGGAGAGUACCCGUAGCAAAAGCAUCGGCUAACUCCGUGCCAGCAGCCGCGUGAAUACGGAGGAUACGAGCGUUGUCCGGAUUUAUUGGGUUUAAAGGGUGCGUAGGCGGGAGUUUAAGUCAGCGGUAAAAAUGCGGGGCGCAACCCCGGCCGGCCGUUGAAACUGGGGGCCUUGAGUGGGCGAGAAGAAGGCGGAAUGCGUGGUGUAGCGGUGAAAUGCAUAGAUAUCACGCAGAACCCCGAUUGCGAAGGCAGCCUUCCGGCGCCCUACUGACGCUGAGGCACGAAAGUGCGGGGAUCGAACAGGAUUAGAUACCCCUGUAGUC